CCUACGGGGGGCAGCAGUGGGGAAUAUUGGACAAUGGCCGAGAGGCUGAACCAGCCAAGUCGCGUGAGGGAAGACGGCCCUACGGGUUGUAAACAUCUUUUGUCGGGGAGCAAAGAGAGUCACGUGUGACUCAUUGAGAGUACCCGACGAAAAAGCAUAGGCUAACUCCGUGCCAGCAGCCGCGGUAAGACGGAGGAUGCGAGGGUUAUCCGGAUUUAUAGGGGUUAGAGGGUGCGCAGGUGGAGGUGCAAGUCCGCGGUCAAAUUGCGGGGCUCAACCCCGUACUGCAGUUGAAACUGCAUCCCUAGAGUGCGCGAGAAGUAUGCGGAAUGCGAGGUGUAGCGGUGAAAUGCGUAGAUAUCACGCAGAACUCCGAUUGCGAAGGCAGCAUACCGGCGAGCAACUGACGCUCAUGCACGAAAGCGUGGGUAGCGAACAGGAUUAGAUACCCGAGUAGUC
Molecule: ribosomal RNA, 459 nt
Filed under: uncultured bacterium
Lineage: Bacteria
Description: partial 16S ribosomal RNA
Rfam family: Bacterial small subunit ribosomal RNA
Source: RNAcentral